Molecule: ribosomal RNA, 344 nt
Filed under: uncultured delta proteobacterium
Lineage: Bacteria; Deltaproteobacteria
Description: bacterial SSU rRNA
Rfam family: Bacterial small subunit ribosomal RNA
Source: RNAcentral
GACAGGUGCUGCAUGGCUGUCGUCAGCUCGUGUCGUGAGAUGUUGGGUUAAGUCCCCAACGAGCGCAACCCUUGCCCUUAGUUGCCAGCAGUUCGGCUGGGCACUCUAGGGGGACUGCCGGUGACAAGCCGGAGGAAGGUGGGGAUGACGUCAAGUCCUCAUGGCCUUUAUAUCCAGGGCUACACACGUGUUACAAUGGGGGUUACAAUGGGCAGCGAAACGGUGACGUGGAGCGAAUCCCAAAAAAGCCCUCUCAGUUCGGAUCGCAGUCUGCAACUCGACUGCGUGAAGCUGGAAUCGCUAGUAAUCGCGGCUCAGCACGCCGCGGUGAAUACGUUCCCGGG